ACGGAGGGUGCAAGCGUUGUCCGGAUUUACUGGGUGUAAAGGGCGCGCAGGCGGAAUGGAAAGUCAGUGGUGAAAUCCUACAGCUUAACUGUAGAACUGCCUUUGAUACUUUCAUUCUUGAGUUCGGGAGAGAGAGACGGAAUUCCAGGUGUAGUGGUGAAAUACGUAGAUAUCUGGAAGAACACCAGUUGCGAAGGCGGUCUCUUGGUCCGAUACUGACGCUGAGGCGCGAAAGCGUGGGGAGCAAACAGGAUUAGAUACCCUGGUAGUCCACGCUGUAAACGAUGAAUACUAGGUGUUGGGUUUUUAACUCAGUGCCGCAGCUAACGCAUUAAGUAUUCCACCUGGGAAGUACGAUCGCAAGCUUAAAACUCAA
Molecule: ribosomal RNA, 376 nt
Filed under: uncultured Ignavibacterium sp.
Lineage: Bacteria; Pseudomonadati; Ignavibacteriota; Ignavibacteria; Ignavibacteriales; Ignavibacteriaceae
Description: bacterial SSU rRNA
Rfam family: Bacterial small subunit ribosomal RNA
Source: RNAcentral